RNAcentral lists this ribosomal RNA (500 nucleotides) under uncultured bacterium. RNAcentral describes it as "partial 16S ribosomal RNA". It matches the Rfam family "Bacterial small subunit ribosomal RNA", at positions 30 to 523 of the family's 1533-position model. The record is from RNAcentral.
AUCGAACGCUGGCGGAAUGCUUUACACAUGCAAGUCGAACGGCAGCACGGACUUCGGUCUGGUGGCGAGUGGCGAACGGGUGAGUAAUGUAUCGGAACGUGCCCAGUCGUGGGGGAUAACGUAGUGAACAUUACGCCAAUACCGCAUCCGAUCUAUGGAUGAAAGCGGGGGCUCGCAAGACCUCGCCCGCUUGGAGCGGCCGAUAUCAGAUUAGGUAUGUGGUGGGGUAAAGGCCCACCAAACCAACGAUCUGGAGCUGGGCUGAGAGGACGACCAGCCACACUGGAACGGAGACACGGUCCAGACUCCUACGGGAGGCAGCAGUGGGGAAUUUUGGACAAUGGGCGAAAGCCUGAUCCAGCCAUUCUGCGUGCAGGAUGAAGGCCCUCGGGUUGUAAACUGCUUUUGUACAGAACGAAAAGGUUUCUACUAAUACUAGGAGCUCAUGACGGUACUGUAAGAAUAAGCACCGGCUAACUACGUGCCAGCAGCCGCCGUAA